This 460-nucleotide ribosomal RNA is filed under the name uncultured bacterium. Its description in RNAcentral is "partial 16S ribosomal RNA". It matches the Rfam family "Bacterial small subunit ribosomal RNA", at positions 338 to 795 of the family's 1533-position model. The record is from RNAcentral.
CCUACGGGGGGCAGCAGUGAGGAAUAAUGGUCAAUGGCCGGAAGGCUGAACCAGCCAUGCCGCGUGAAGGUCAGUGCCCUAUGGGCGUUAAACUUCUUUUGUGCGGGAGCAAUAAUGGUCACGUGUGGCCAGACGAGAGUACCGUACGAAUAAGCAUCGGCUAACUCCGUGCCAGCAGCCGCGGUAAUACGGGGGAUGCAAGCGUUAUCCGGAUUUAUUGGGUUGAAAGGGUGCGUAGGCUGUGAGGUAAGUCAGCGGGGAAAUGCCCCCGCUCAACGGGGUGAAGUGCCAUUGAUACUGCCUUGCUGGAAUGCGGAUGCCGUGGGAGGAAUGUGUGGUGUAGCGGUGAAAUGCAUAGAUAUCACACAGAACACCGAUUGCGAAGGCAUCUCACGAAUCCGCGAUUGACGCUGAUGCACGAAGGCGUGGGUAUCAAACAGGAUUAGAUACCCCGGUAGUC